CAGAAGGAAGGAGAAGUGAGCCUCAUUUAUUGCAGAUCUGAAGAUCAGCUCGCAGACAUUUUUACAAAACCUUUGCCAGCAAACAAGUUUGAACUUCUUAGGCAAAGACUCGGAGUUUGCAGCUCCUAAAAAAUGGAGGAGUGUUAGUUGAUUGUUUUAGGACUGCAACGUGUCUAAGUAUCAGAAAUUAUUUUAUGCUUUCAUUCUGUUUUUAGUUUGUCCUAGUCUUUAGGAAGUGGUUAGUUUGUUGAAACAUGUUGCUGUUCAUGGCACACGUUGCUGUUCAUGGCUUAAUUCUCGGUUUCAGUUAUUUUUUCUGUUUCUAUAUAAUGUAAGCUUGCUGCAUAAUAAAAUUGAAUUCCCA
RNAcentral lists this long non-coding RNA (364 nucleotides) under Populus trichocarpa (black cottonwood). Its description in RNAcentral is "long non-coding RNA (PTRI_LNC003107)". Lineage: Eukaryota; Viridiplantae; Streptophyta; Magnoliopsida; Malpighiales; Salicaceae. The record is from RNAcentral.